CUUUUGAUUAUAAUUUAAGGUCUGGCCUGCCCAAUGAGUUUUUAAAUGGCCGCGGUAUUUUGACCGUGCAAAGGUAGCAUAAUCAUUAGUUUUUUAAUUGAAAGCUCGAAUGAAAGGUUGGAUGAGAAAAUGAUUGUCUCUAUUUAAAUUAAUUAGAAUUUUAUUUUUAAGUAAAAAAGCUUAAAUAUUUUUAAAAGACGAGAAGACCCUAUAGAGUUUUAUUAAUUUUUAUGUUAAAGUUUUUAGUAUUUAAUUUUUUAUUAUAAUAAGUUAAUUUAAUUGGGGUGAUUAAAAAAUUAAAUAAACUUUUUUUUUAUUUUUACAUUAAUUUAUGAUUAUUUGAUCCUUAUUUAAAGAUUAAAAGAUAAAAUUACCUUAGGGAUAACAGCGUAAUUUUUUUAAAGAGUUCAAAUCGAAAAAAAAGAUUGCGACCUCGAUGUUGGAUUAAAAUAAAAUUUUGGUGUAGAAGCUAAA
RNAcentral lists this ribosomal RNA (474 nucleotides) under Otiorhynchus porcatus. RNAcentral describes it as "partial 16S ribosomal RNA". It matches the Rfam family "Bacterial large subunit ribosomal RNA", at positions 1832 to 2566 of the family's 2925-position model. The record is from RNAcentral. Lineage: Eukaryota; Metazoa; Arthropoda; Insecta; Coleoptera; Curculionidae.